RNAcentral lists this unclassified non-coding RNA (205 nucleotides) under Brucella sp. 191011898. RNAcentral describes it as "BSR1073". Lineage: Bacteria; Pseudomonadati; Pseudomonadota; Alphaproteobacteria; Hyphomicrobiales; Brucellaceae. The record is from RNAcentral.
AUUGUAAUUUGACUGAAUAAGGCGGCUUCUAUGCCGCCUUAUUUGUUAGGCUGUAGUGACGAAUUAACUUGUGGUUUGGUAUGGGCAAAAAACCUUCAGCUUUAGGAGCGAAACCGAAGGUGGGGUGGUUCCCCCAUCAAGGUUUCGCGACGCCAAGAUGGAGGUUUUUUGCCAUAUCCCGAAGGGACGCGGUGUAUUUUGCUUC